CUCGUAGGCGGUUCGUCGCGUCCGGUGUGAAAGUCCAUCGCUUAACGGUGGAUCCGCGCCGGGUACGGGCGGGCUUGAGUGCGGUAGGGGAGACUGGAAUCCCCGGUGUAACGGUGGAAUGUGUAGAUAUCGGGAAGAACACCAAUGGCGAAGGCAGGUCUCUGGGCCGUCACUGACGCUGAGGAGCGAAAGCGUGGGGAGCGAACA
This 207-nucleotide ribosomal RNA is filed under the name uncultured bacterium. RNAcentral's name for it is "partial 16S ribosomal RNA". It matches the Rfam family "Bacterial small subunit ribosomal RNA", at positions 568 to 774 of the family's 1533-position model. The record is from RNAcentral.